CGAUGCGAUCAUACCAGCACUAAAGCACCGGAUCCCAUCAGAACUCCGAAGUUAAGCGUGCUUGGGCGAGAGUAGUACUAGGAUGGGUGACCUCCCGGGAAGUCCCCGUGGUGCUUUCC
Molecule: ribosomal RNA, 119 nt
Filed under: Aegilops tauschii subsp. strangulata
Lineage: Eukaryota; Viridiplantae; Streptophyta; Magnoliopsida; Poales; Poaceae
Source: RNAcentral